AUUGAACGCUGGCGGCAGGCCUAACACAUGCAAGUCGAACGGUAGCACAGAGAGCUUGCUCUCGGGUGACGAGUGGCGGACGGGUGAGUAAUGUCUGGGAAACUGCCCGAUGGAGGGGGAUAACUACUGGAAACGGUAGCUAAUACCGCAUAACGUCGCAAGACCAAAGUGGGGGACCUUCGGGCCUCACACCAUCGGAUGUGCCCAGAUGUGGAUUAGCUAGUAGGUGGGGUAAUGGCUCACCUAGGCGACGAUCCCUAGCUGGUCUGAGAGGAUGACCCGCCACACUGGAACUGAGACACGGUCCAGACUCCUACGGGAGGCAGCAGUGGGGAAUAUUGCACAAUGGGCGCAAGCCUGAUGCAGCCAUGCCGCAUGUAUGAAGAAGGCCUUCGGGUUGUAAAGUACUUUCAGCGGGGAGGAAGGCGGUGAAGUUAAUAGCUUCACCGAUUGACGUUACCCGCAGAAGAAGCACAGGCUAACUCCGUGCCAGCAGCCGCCGUAA
This 505-nucleotide ribosomal RNA is filed under the name uncultured bacterium. RNAcentral's name for it is "partial 16S ribosomal RNA". It matches the Rfam family "Bacterial small subunit ribosomal RNA", at positions 30 to 523 of the family's 1533-position model. The record is from RNAcentral.